CCCUACGGGGCGCAGCAGGCGCGAAACCUUUACAAUGCGGGCAACCGUGAUAAGGGAACCUCGAGUGCCUGUAAACGCAGGCUGUUCAGGUGUUUAGAACGCACCUGGAGAAAGGGCCGGGCAAGACCGGUGCCAGCCGCCGCGGUAAUACCGGCGGCUCGAGUGGUGGCCGCUUUUAUUGGGCUUAAAGCGUUCGUAGCAGGGUUGUUAAGUCUCUUGGG
RNAcentral lists this ribosomal RNA (221 nucleotides) under uncultured archaeon. RNAcentral's name for it is "partial 16S ribosomal RNA". It matches the Rfam family "Archaeal small subunit ribosomal RNA", at positions 321 to 546 of the family's 1478-position model. The record is from RNAcentral.